Molecule: ribosomal RNA, 253 nt
Filed under: uncultured bacterium
Lineage: Bacteria
Description: partial 16S ribosomal RNA
Rfam family: Bacterial small subunit ribosomal RNA
Source: RNAcentral
UACGUAGGGUGCGAGCGUUGUCCGGAAUUAUUGGGCGUAAAGAGCUCGUAGGCGGUCUGUCGCGUCGGCUGUGAAAACUCGGGGCUCAACCCCGAGCCUGCAGUCGAUACGGGCAGACUAGAGUGCGGUAGGGGAGACUGGAAUUCCUGGUGUAGCGGUGAAAUGCGCAGAUAUCAGGAGGAACACCGGUGGCGAAGGCGGGUCUCUGGGCCGAUACUGACGCUGAGGAGCGAAAGCGUGGGGAGCGAACAGG